AUUGAACGCUGGCGGCAGGCUUAACACAUGCAAGUCGAGCGGGGGAAGGUAGCUUGCUACCGGACCUAGCGGCGGACGGGUGAGUAAUGCUUAGGAAUCUGCCUAUUAGUGGGGACAACAUCUCGAAAGGGAUGCUAAUACCGCAUACGUCCUACGGGAGAAAGCAGGGGAUCUUCGGACCUUGCGCUAAUAGAUGAGCCUAAGUCGGAUUAGCUAGUUGGUGGGGUAAAGGCCUACCAAGGCGACGAGCUGUAGCGGGUCUGAGAGGAUGAUCCGCCACACUGGGACUGGGACACGGCCCAGACUCCUACGGGAGGCAGCAGUGGGGAAUAUUGGACAAUGGGGGGAACCCUGAUCCAGCCACGCCGCGUGUGUGAAGAAGGCCUUAUGGUUGUAAAGCACUUUAAGCGAGGAGGAGGCUACUUUAGUUAAUACCUAGAGAUAGUGGACGUUACUCGCAGAAUAAGCACCGGCUAACUCUGUGCCAGCCGCCGCGGUAA
RNAcentral lists this ribosomal RNA (500 nucleotides) under uncultured bacterium. RNAcentral's name for it is "partial 16S ribosomal RNA". It matches the Rfam family "Bacterial small subunit ribosomal RNA", at positions 30 to 523 of the family's 1533-position model. The record is from RNAcentral.